This 465-nucleotide ribosomal RNA is filed under the name Vreelandella stevensii. RNAcentral describes it as "partial 16S ribosomal RNA". It matches the Rfam family "Bacterial small subunit ribosomal RNA", at positions 338 to 795 of the family's 1533-position model. Lineage: Bacteria; Pseudomonadati; Pseudomonadota; Gammaproteobacteria; Oceanospirillales; Halomonadaceae. The record is from RNAcentral.
CCUACGGAGUGCUGCAGUGGGGAAUAUUGGACAAUGGGCGAAAGCCUGAUCCAGCCAUGCCGCGUGUGUGAAGAAGGCCUUCGGGUUGUAAAGCACUUUCAGUGGGGAAGAAAGCCUUGGGGCUAAUACCCUCGAGGAAGGACAUCACCCACAGAAGAAGCACCGGCUAACUCCGUGCCAGCAGCCGCGGUAAUACGGAGGGUGCGAGCGUUAAUCGGAAUUACUGGGCGUAAAGCGCGCGUAGGCGGUCUGAUAAGCCGGUUGUGAAAGCCCCGGGCUCAACCUGGGAACGGCAUCCGGAACUGUCAGGCUAGAGUGCAGGAGAGGAAGGUAGAAUCCCCGGUGUAGCGGUGAAAUGCGUAGAGAUCGGGAGGAAUACCAGUGGCGAAGGCGGCCUUCUGGACUGACACUGACGCUGAGGUGCGAAAGCGUGGGUAGCAAACAGGAUUAGAUACCCUGGUAGUC